This 1254-nucleotide long non-coding RNA is filed under the name Mustela putorius furo (domestic ferret). Its description in RNAcentral is "lncRNA (ENSMPUG00000031019.1)". The record is from RNAcentral. Lineage: Eukaryota; Metazoa; Chordata; Mammalia; Carnivora; Mustelidae.
AUUUGAUUUGCUCAACAUUUUACAAUUGUCUUUGAACAGAAGCCAUACAACUGAGAUGGGUACAACUCAUUCAGGUUCCCUGGCCUGGAUAUUGAAAGAUUAAGUUUUAGAGGCUCCACCAAGCUGAAUUAUGCAUUAUGAAACCUGGGAGUGAGUGGCAGGGCAGGUCCUCCUCCUCCAAGGUAGUAUUGGGAAGUCCACAGGGUAGAAUCAAGGGUUGAGAUCUAAGAGUUUGCACAACAGAGCUCUCAGCCUGUUGUCAUGGCAGCAAGGAGAGAGCCGCAGCAAUAAGCUGGAACAAAUAUGAGGCUUUCUCCUGCCUCUACACUGGAUCUUAUAGGCCUCCCUGUUUAACCAGGCCCCCUGAAUCUAAAUAUCAAGAUCUUCUGGCAGGUGUAAAUUAUUCUGUUAUCAGCCUACAGACACCCCACGGUAUCUGCCUUUCUCACCUGGCUUGGCCUAGGAAUGGUUUUCUUUCUUUUUUUCCUUUUUUUUUUUUUUAAAAGCUUUUAUUUAUUUAUUUGUCAGAGAGCAAGAAAGAGAGAACACAAGCAGGGAAAGCACCAGGCAGAGGAAGAAGGCUCCCCGCUGAGCAAGGAACCUGAUGCAGGACUCAAUCCCAGGGCCCUGGGAUCAUGACGUGAGCCGAAGACAGACGCUUAACCAACUGAGCCACCAGCAUCCCUAGGAACGGUUUUCUAGCAUUCCUUCCCCACCUCUACACUAACACUAGUGGAACUACCACUGCCAUUGUGAGAGAACAAUGGGCUCGUGGUGGAGGGCAUUAUUCCUCAAACUAGAGACUCCCCUCCACUCCACUCCCCCUUUUAUUUUGUUUCCCCAUACCAUCAUUUGAUUCAUAAAAAUAAAGUGUUCACCAAGAGGAAAUGGUUCUAGAUCACACAGCAGGUCAACCACAUCCCGAAACAUCUUUGUAAAGUACCAACUUCCAGAAGCAAUUUAUAGAUGCACAACUCUGAAGCAAACUCAAGAUUAAGGCAGGAAGAGAGAAAGAAAGAGAAGAAGAAAGAAAUGGGUUCAAACUUAAGCAAGUCUGACCUACUAGCCUGGCAAAUAGAAAUACAGGCCCAUGUGCAUAUCUUGAAUAACCAAGAGGGACCACAAUAUACACACUGUCCUGGACCUUGAUUUUUUUCAUUUAAUAAUAUACCUUGGAGAUCUUUCCAUAGGAAAAUAGGUAGGUGUCUUUCCUUCUUUGUAAUGGUUGCACGGGAUUCCACAAGAUAUGAAAGU